Molecule: transfer RNA, 74 nt
Filed under: Enterobacteriaceae endosymbiont of Plateumaris sericea
Lineage: Bacteria; Pseudomonadati; Pseudomonadota; Gammaproteobacteria; Enterobacterales; Enterobacteriaceae
Description: tRNA-Arg
Rfam family: tRNA
About the family: Transfer RNA (tRNA) molecules are approximately 80 nucleotides in length. Their secondary structure includes four short double-helical elements and three loops (D, anti-codon, and T loops).
Source: RNAcentral
GCACCCGUAGCUCAGUAGGAUAGAGCACUGUUUUCCGAAAGCAGAGGAUUCAGGUUCAAUUCCUGUCGGGUGCA